Dorea sp. CAG:105 is the source of this 168-nucleotide small RNA. It matches the Rfam family "Clostridiales-1 RNA". The record is from Rfam. Lineage: Bacteria; Bacillati; Bacillota; Clostridia; Lachnospirales; Lachnospiraceae.
UGAUACCAAGGUCAAAAGGUCGAAAGCCGCAUGAGCUUGCUCAUAAGUGGCUGUAUGACCUUGGGACCUGCCCCAAUAUGAGCAUAAAAGUGGGAUUGUGAUCCCACGAUAUGCGAAUAGUGGGCAGAAUUGUGAGAGUGCGCAGCACGGAACAAUUCGUGGGUAUCA